Molecule: unclassified non-coding RNA, 471 nt
Filed under: Hevea brasiliensis (rubber tree)
Lineage: Eukaryota; Viridiplantae; Streptophyta; Magnoliopsida; Malpighiales; Euphorbiaceae
Source: RNAcentral
CAAAUGUUGAGGGGCCACUAGGGUUGAUAUAUGGUGAAGAGUAUGAUCGUCCUUUGGUUGUAUUUGAUCGUGGUUUUAGGUCAGAUGGUUCGAUUUACAUGAACUCUACCGGUAACAAUCCUUCUAUACAUCCUCAGUGGCAACCUGAAUAUUUUGGUGAUGCGAUUAUAGUCAAUGGAAAAGCUUGGCCUUACAUGAAUGUGAAACGAAGGAAGUACCGAUUCAGGAUCAUCAACGCAAGUAACGCCAGGUUUUUCAAAUUCUUCUUCACUAAUAACAUGUCGUUUAUACACGUGGCGUCUGAUUCAGCUUAUCAUGAAAGUCCGGUAGAGCUCCAUGACCUACUAUUAGCUCCAUCUGAAAUAGCUGAUGUGAUUGUUGACUUUUCAAAGUCAAAGUCAAAGUCAAAGUCCGUGAUUUUAGCCAAUGACGCCGCGUAUCCUUAUCCGUCUGGCGAUCCGGUCAACGAAG